RNAcentral lists this ribosomal RNA (301 nucleotides) under uncultured bacterium. Its description in RNAcentral is "partial 16S ribosomal RNA". It matches the Rfam family "Bacterial small subunit ribosomal RNA", at positions 509 to 807 of the family's 1533-position model. The record is from RNAcentral.
CAGUAGCCGCGGUAAUACGUAGGUGGCAAGCGUUGUCCGGAAUUAUUGGGCGUAAAGGGCCCGCAGGCGGUUUCUUAAGUCUGAUGUGAAAGCCCCCGGCUCAACCGGGGAGGGUCAUUGGAAACUGGGAAACUUGAGUGCAGAAGAGGAGAGUGGAAUUCCACGUGUAGCGGUGAAAUGCGUAGAGAUGUGGAGGAACACCAGUGGCGAAGGCGACUCUCUGGUCUGUAACUGACGCUGAGGAGCGAAAGCGUGGGGAGCGAACAGGAUUAGAUACCCCAGUAGUCCCUGUCUCUUAUAC